Molecule: ribosomal RNA, 303 nt
Filed under: uncultured bacterium
Lineage: Bacteria
Description: partial 16S ribosomal RNA
Rfam family: Bacterial small subunit ribosomal RNA
Source: RNAcentral
AGCAGUAGCCGCGGGAAUACGAGGGGAGCUAGCGUUGUUCGGAAUUACUGGGCGUAAAGCGCGCGUAGGCGGCUUUUUAAGUCAGAGGUGAAAGCCCGGGGCUCAACCCCGGAAUUGCCUUUGAAACUGGAAAGCUAGAAUCUUGGAGAGGUCAGUGGAAUUCCGAGUGUAGAGGUGAAAUUCGUAGAUAUUCGGAAGAACACCAGUGGCGAAGGCGACUGACUGGACAAGUAUUGACGCUGAGGUGCGAAAGCGUGGGGAGCAAACAGGAUUAGAUACCCCAGUAGUCCCUGUCUCUUAUAC